Molecule: non-coding RNA, 141 nt
Filed under: uncultured Nitzschia
Lineage: Eukaryota; Bacillariophyta; Bacillariophyceae; Bacillariales; Bacillariaceae
Source: RNAcentral
UCAGAUUCCAUGCGGCCGCUGGGUCUCUCCUUAUGAUUUCAUCAUGUGUUCCAUUGACAAUGAACUAUUCACCAGUAUAUUCGUUCCAACAGUCUUGCGACACACAACGACGACGAUAUGCUUCUACCAUUCGAAGUAGUG